Molecule: long non-coding RNA, 465 nt
Filed under: Dromaius novaehollandiae (emu)
Lineage: Eukaryota; Metazoa; Chordata; Aves; Casuariiformes; Dromaiidae
Description: lncRNA (ENSDNVG00000007308.1)
Source: RNAcentral
UAUCAUCAGAGAGUCCACCUGAGAGGCAAGCUUUGUGGAUGUCUGAACCUCCAGAAAAGCUUCAGUCAAAACUUUUAUCUUGUAAGAUACAAGAGUCUAACUACAAGACAAGUCUGUUAAGGUUCAUCUACUCCAGUUUGGAUAAAUUGAAAUUCUUCCACAGUAAGUGUGAGACACCAUUGUGAACCAGAGAAGACAGGGAUUCAGAGCAGUCUUCUAAUAUGAGGCAAUGCACUACGGAGACCGCAGAAACUUACUUAUCAAAAAUGACAAGUACAUACAAUUUAAUGGUAAGUGAUAUAUGUAAAAUCAGACUAGAUAAUCUGUUUUUUAUACUUCCUUAAUGUCAGCAUAUGUAUGAUAAAGCGAGUUAGGAAUGAACAAUACCACAUCUCUUCUAAUUAUAGAUUAUAGACAGCUUCAGUGUGAUUUUUGCAAGAGAUCCCAUAAGUGAAGCUAACUCUC